GAUGAACGCUGGCGGCGUGCCUAAUACAUGCAAGUCGAACGAGGUGCUUUUGUAGCAAUACGAGAGUAUCCUAGUGGCGAACGGGUGAGUAACGCGUGGAUGACCUGCCCCAAAGUGUGGGAUAACAGUCCGAAAGGAUUGCUAAUACCUCAUGUGGUUAUCGGUUUUAGAAAGCGAUAACUAAAGGAGCAAUUCGCUUUGGGAGGGACCUGCGUCCCAUCAGCUAGUUGGUGAGGUAAUGGCUCACCAAGGCUACGACGGGUAGGGGACCUGAGAGGGUGGCCCCCCACAAUGGAACUGAAACAACGGUCCAUACACCUACGGGUGGGCAGCAGUAGGGAAGUAUUGCACAAUGGGCGAAAGACCUGAUGCAGCAACGCCGCGUGUGCGAUGAAGG
RNAcentral lists this ribosomal RNA (397 nucleotides) under uncultured bacterium. RNAcentral's name for it is "bacterial SSU rRNA". It matches the Rfam family "Bacterial small subunit ribosomal RNA", at positions 28 to 414 of the family's 1533-position model. The record is from RNAcentral.